Molecule: non-coding RNA, 30 nt
Filed under: Rattus norvegicus (Norway rat)
Lineage: Eukaryota; Metazoa; Chordata; Mammalia; Rodentia; Muridae
Source: RNAcentral
UCACACAUUCCCACCAGGGUUUCAGGGUUC